UACGUAGGGGGCAAGCGUUGUCCGGAUUUACUGGGUGUAAAGGGUGCGUAGGCGGGUUGGUAAGUCAGUGGUGAAAUCUCAUAGCUUAACUAUGAAACUGCCUCUGAUACUGCCAAUCUUGAGUUCAGAAGAGAGAGAUGGAAUUCCAGGUGUAGUGGUGAAAUACGUAGAUAUCUGGAGGAACACCAGAGGCGAAGGCGAUCUCUUGGUCUGUAACUGACGCUGAGGCACGAAAGCGUGGGUAGCGAACAGGAUUAGAUACCCCGGUAGUCC
RNAcentral lists this ribosomal RNA (273 nucleotides) under uncultured bacterium. Its description in RNAcentral is "partial 16S ribosomal RNA". It matches the Rfam family "Bacterial small subunit ribosomal RNA", at positions 524 to 796 of the family's 1533-position model. The record is from RNAcentral.